Molecule: ribosomal RNA, 497 nt
Filed under: uncultured bacterium
Lineage: Bacteria
Description: partial 16S ribosomal RNA
Rfam family: Bacterial small subunit ribosomal RNA
Source: RNAcentral
GAUGAACGCUGGCGGCGUGCCUAAUACAUGCAAGUCGAGCGAACGGACGAGAAGCUUGCUUCUCUGAUGUUAGCGGCGGACGGGUGAGUAACACGUGGAUAACCUACCUAUAAGACUGGGAUAACUUCGGGAAACCGGAGCUAAUACCGGAUAAUAUUUUGAACCGCAUGGUUCAAAAGUGAAAGACGGUCUUGCUGUCACUUAUAGAUGGAUCCGCGCUGCAUUAGCUAGUUGGUAAGGUAACGGCUUACCAAGGCAACGAUGCAUAGCCGACCUGGGAGGGUGAUCGGCCACACUGGAACUGAGACACGGUCCAGACUCCUACGGGAGGCAGCAGUAGGGAAUCUUCCGCGAUGGGCGAAAGCCUGACGGAGCAACGCCGCGUAGGUGAUGAAGGUCUUCGGAUCGUAAAACUCUGUUAUUAGGGAAGAACAUAUGUGUAAGUAACUGUGCACAUCUUGACGGUACCUAAUCAGAAAGCCACGGCUAACUACGUG